This 500-nucleotide ribosomal RNA is filed under the name uncultured bacterium. Its description in RNAcentral is "partial 16S ribosomal RNA". It matches the Rfam family "Bacterial small subunit ribosomal RNA", at positions 30 to 523 of the family's 1533-position model. The record is from RNAcentral.
AUUGAACGCUGGCGGCAUGCCUUACACAUGCAAGUCGAACGGCAGCACGGACUUCGGUCUGGUGGCGAGUGGCGAACGGGUGAGUAAUAUAUCGGAACAUACCUUGUAGUGGGGGAUAACUAUCCGAAAGGAUAGCUAAUACCGCAUACGCUCUAAGGAGGAAAGUGGGGGAUCGCAAGACCUCAUGCUGUAAGAGUGGCCGAUAUCUGAUUAGCUAGUUGGUGAGGUAAAGGCUCACCAAGGCGACGAUCAGUAGCUGGUCUGAGAGGACGACAAGCCACACUGGAACUGAGAGACGGUCCAGACUCCUACGGGAGGCAGCAGUGGGGAAUUUUGGACAAUGGGGGCAACCCUGAUCCAGCAAUGCCGCGUGAGUGAAGAAGGCCUUCGGGUUGUAAAGCGCUUUUGUCAGGGAAGAAACGGUUGUGGCUAAUAUCCAUGGCUAAUGACGGUACCUGAAGAAUAAGCACCGGCUAACUACGUGCCAGCAGCCGCGGUAA